Long non-coding RNA from Anas platyrhynchos (mallard), 5182 nucleotides. RefSeq lists it as uncharacterized. Lineage: Eukaryota; Metazoa; Chordata; Aves; Anseriformes; Anatidae. The record is from RefSeq and is a predicted model, not a curated record.
UGGCCUGGAGCUUCCAUUCUGCAGCUUGGUUCAGGAGCUGUGUUUUGGGCAACAGAGAGAAAAUUGUUAGAUCCCUGUUUUUUUCAGCUGAAAAUCCUCAGCCUCCAGCUACAUAUGCUUCUGUUGCUGCUACCUUGGUAAGGAAUAAUUUAACUCAGAUGAAUGUAGGAAGAGGCGACAGGCAAGAUCGAAUAUUUAUUGCUAUCCUCAGGAGAGGAACGGGGCAUUUUGUUAGAAAAGACAUGUCUGAAUAUUAGUUUAAAAACUGCUUGGAAUGAAGUGUGUAGUACAGUAUGCUCUAAGAAGUAUGGUAUUUAAGCAUAUCUUCAUGUGACCUGUAGAGUGUGGUUAUGACACCUUCUGGCAUUGUCAUUUCAGCAUGGCUCAGGCUAAAUUUCAGCUCUCCUGUGAAUGGCAGACUCCUUUUUGCAAUAAUGAUCCAGACUUAGCAUACAGAUGUGGUCAAAGUCAGGCAUGUCUCAAAAAAUCUGCUAGCUUCCAGAAAGGGAAUGCACAGUAAAUGUCAUGCAAAAUCAAGCUCUGGUGUCUGUUAUCUUACGGCUCCAUUUGCAUUGACAUGCCAUCAGCAGAAACUCCCAGCUCAGGGUGAUAAAUGCCUCACUUAGAUCAAGGAGGCAGCCCAAGAAGAGUUUGAUUGCAGUUUCAUCCCUGGCUGCUCCUGGGAAGAUGUUAUCCCUACUUCAAGGCAUUAGCAAAAUGACCUUGGGACGUGUAGACUGCACGUUGGAGGUUCAGCUGAGGGUGAAUGAAUUGUAGGAAAAGGUGUAUAGACACUUCUACAGGUUGCAGUUUGGAAUCAGCACUUACAAACUAUUCUAACAAUUGGUUUAUUUGAACCCAGGGAACAUUUAUUGAAGUGUUAAAGAAACUUCUAGUGCCUAACAAUCAUGUAUACAGUGUUACUUUUACUGGUUAGGCUAAAUGUAUUUCAGGAAAAAAAAUGCUAAUGAUAGCUUGAGAAAUGAAAUAUAAACAAUUUCAUUUGCCACAGGAUUUUCUUCUGUGGGACUAAAUUGUACCAUUUAAAAUGGCACAGUUGGGCUUUGAAAAUAUAUUGAAAAUUACUUUAUAAGUCAACAGAACCCACUCAUACUGGAAGGGAAAGGUGAGUAGAACCACGUGCAGAAAAUGUGUUUGAGCCUAGUAAAAACCUUGAUCCUAAAUAUUUAGUUAGAAAUAACACAUGCAAACUACUUGAAUGUCACCUGGCAAAAGGGCUGAAGAUGUAUGCUAUAAAUGCUGAUUAAACAAUAUAAUGACUUCUCUCCUUCUCCAGCUAUUUGUGGCACAGAAACUGAAUUACACUUGUUGCAUAUAUAUACAUAUAAAUACGUAAGCUCUAAAAGAUACAUUUUCUCCAUCCAUUUGGCCUUUUGAUUCAGAACCACUGAAUUAUUAGCAUCUACAAUUUUGAGAAUAAGAAUGAUUUGCAGCUUACCCAUGCAUUGUAUGAAGAAAUACCAUGUGCUGUUAGUUUUAUAUUUGCCUCUUAAUUAUUAUUUUAAGAAUUUAAUUUAAUGCUUGUUUCAAUUGAGGUAAGUCAAAUUCUGAGUUUAGAUCUUGUGGGCUAAAAUUUCAAGAUUUCAAAUAGGUCAUGUCAGCAUGUCCUAGCUAUCAAAAUGAUGUGAUAGGAAGAGGCCUAGGUUAAAUGGGUCUCAGCAUUUGUUUUCCUGGGAGGAUGUUCCUUGCACAUAAAAAAUAUUUUUUAAAGUUUGAAUGAAAUCUGUAUUUUUAAGUUUCAGGUUUCUGUGAUAUCUACUUGGUGAUUUUUUUUUUUUUAAAUUUAUUUUCAUUUGAGGAUUUAUAGGGUGUUUGGAUCGAAUGUUUAUUGGAAAGUUCUUUGAAGCUCUUCAGAGCUACCCAGUCUCCAGGACAGUCAUUGCUUCCAAGAACUGGGCUUUUAUUUGUAUUCCUUAAAUCUUGUCUAGGGUUACCUUCUUAUCUUGUGUGCCUGGGAUAAUGAAAAGGUCUUGUCUCCCCUGCCAUGUCUUCUGCCACAGUAUGAUAGAUGUGAGAUGGGCAGAGAAAGCAAAGUUGCUUCUUUUGCCUACUAAUGAAAUAUUUCUUCUCCACUAUUGACCCACAUAGCUUCUGUAGCUAGUUAAAAUCCAAGAGUUAAUAAACUCUUCUGUAAGGGAAGCAAGCCACAGAGAGGUUUGCUCAAAUUAAUGUGCACUCUUAUGCAGCUUGGGGUCAUCUACAAACACCAAGCUGAGAGAAACUGCACCAGGAGAACUGACACAUUUAUUAAUUGGCUAUGAAGUGGUAACAAGGAGGCUGAAGUAUAAAGAAAUGAUUAAAUACUGCAUGUGGUGUUUACAAAACAGAACUUCUACGAAGCCUGGUGUUGUUAGACUAUAUCAUUAGAGCUACGAUAGCUGCUGGAGACUCAGGCAGUCACAUCAUGCUCUGGUCUGAAAGAGCCAGUCCCCAAGAACACACAUUCUAAUUUAAUGACAUGGACCUAGGGGCUGGUCUAGUGAAAAUUAGGUUUCCCUUUUUUUUGGUGCCAGAUUUUGCACAAUUCCGAUUAUGUAGAAAUCUGAUCAUUGUCUUCCAGUCACACACUUGAAGGCCACAGAUGCUUUAAACUGCAGUUAGCUACAAAACAAAGUUUGCUUUACAAGUGCUAAAAAUGUCUUGUAUGUCAAGGAAGUCCCAGGUAGUGCUGACCAGUAAUGGGAUGAUACUAAAACUGCAUCUUUAGGUCAGGCUGACCAUUUGGGAAAGCCACACAGCAAAACAAAUGAUUGCUGCUUACUCAGGGAAUCACAUUCUUGUUGCAUGUGAAGAAUGAAUUGUGUGAGAAUGAGUCAAUCUGCCUGUUGAGCUGUGAUGUGCAGAGGCUGCAGGAGAGGACAUCUCUCCCUGAAUGAGGUAAAGGAAUUUUUUAUAAGAGCAAAGAUUCCUACAUGGAAGAACUGCACAGAAAAACAUCAAAGUGAGCCUCCAAGGAUCAAUCAAAUUGAUAAAACAGUAUAAAAAUUCUCAUUUAAAGAUAUUUGCAAAGUCCUGCAGCAAACUGAUGCAGAAGGAUGUCAAAAAAAAAGGUAUGUAGAGAACUGCUGUGUACAGGGUGCUGGAGUGCAGCAAGGCUCUGACUGCACAUUUGAGCUGGAGAGAGAGCAAGCUAAUGAAAGGACUCAGUCAAAAACACCUUAAUUUCAUAUAUAUAUAUGUGUGUGUGUGUGUGUGUAUAUAUAUAUUCAUACCCCCACAUGAUAGCUGGGUGGGUGGGAGUAAGAGCUCAGCAGUAUGACUGAGGGGGUGAAUGUGUAGGCUAGCUCUCAGUGCUGGGCUACCUGUGAUGAAUUUUGACAUACUGGUCACGCCUUGUCUCAUGGCAUGGCUUUUGGCCAGUCACUUAAGUUUUCCAGCUAAAGCUACCUUGCUCUGAGGUGAUGUUACUAAUAUAUCACCAAGCUACCUCAAAGGCAGAGUUUUGAGCAUUAGCUUGGAAAGUAUGAAAAAAAAUCUUUGAACACAGUGCGUAUAAUUAUACACCCACUACUUAAAGUCUUUGUAUCUUGUUUUCGAACCUGUUAUUUCAUAGGUGCUAGUCAUACAUUCAGCAAAGCCACAAAGGAAAUCUCCCACUCCCAAAUGUAGAUGAAUAAAAUGCAGAGGGAAGAUUUGGCUACAAUCAGGGCCAGGCACUGUAGCAGACAGCAGCAAAGCUCAUAUUAUCUGAGGCACUGCAAGAAUGGUCAUUGGUACAAGGCUGUGUUUGUGAACUUUCCACAAGGUCACGCUGUCUUUUGGAUUUUAUUUUAUUUUUUCAAUAUUUGAAAAUAUAGCAAAACUCAUAGUGACAGUAGUAAAGUAAGCCCAACUUUGCCUUGUCAUUUUGAAGGAUUUCUUAGAAAUGUUCCCUGGGGUUUGAACCUGCUUAGGAUGAACUGUCAUGGAUUAAAUUUUGGACUUUGGCUUUAAAUAGACCCCACAGUGAAAGGGCACUCAGCUGGACCAUACAUUGUCAUGCAGAGACGUGUAUGUGCACCUGGAGAAGUCCCAGCUCCUCUUCCCCCUCAGUUUGUUAGCUGGCAGUAGAGUUUGAGCAGGAGUGGGUGUCCCAGCCACAAGAUCAGUGCAGAGAAAGAGGAUAAAAUCUCUUAUGAACAACUUCUGGUGAGAGGUGUUUGCUAUGUUUCCCUUGUGUGCUGUCCACAGGGCUUAGAGCCCCACAGUUUCAUCCACAUUUUACGGCAUUUUGGCUAUGCUUCUACUAAUGUAUCUCUUUUCUGACAAAAAAGAAAUACAUAUUCCUUCAGAGCUCUCUAAUGCAGCUCCUGAGCUAGCUACAGGACUGGAAAGGACUAAAGGUUUCCUCAAGCUGCUGAGAGCCUGAUGCUCCCCUGUACUUAGCCUCAGCUGCUGCCACCACAGAGAAAAUGAUCUGGGUGCCAGUGAUGAACGCUGGUAGAUGUUAGAAUUACUGUGAAAAUACCAGGCAGCCUGAGGAAGUGAGUUUUGGUCUGCCUCAGGCACAAGACAUGUGAGGCCAGGGAGGGGUGUCCUCCCCCUGUUCCAGCUGUGCCUGUGGGGACAUCCUGCCUAGAGCUGCUCUUUGCUGUUCCCCUACCAGAGGUGUCCCUCCACCAGGCAGGGAGGAGCAGCAAAUGAGUCUGUGAAAUGAACCUGGGCUCUACUGGACAGACCAAUGUGGGGAGGGAGCCUCUGCAGGAGAGAAGGGGGCCCUGAUGCUCCCGUGGUCUCUUCCAUUGGCAAAACCAGACCCACAGGAGGGCGUCUGGGGAGGCUGAGUCUGGGGUGGGUACCAGCCUUCUGCUGAUUUAAUCACAUGUCCUUGUUCUUCUUGUUCUUGUUUAAAUGUGCUCAUUUGCCAUGUGAGGAGCUGGAGCAUCCAAUAUCAGAGCCGUUUGGAAACUAAUGGCAUCAUCUGACACAACAUCAUGAUGAAUCAACUGUGCAGUAGCGGUACAGCUCUGAGCAGGGAGAAGACUGACCAGGUGCCUCCACUUCAAGUAGUCAAAUACAAGAGUGAAAAACUGAACAUGUUUGGAGUCUUAUUCCUAUGGCUUCAAAACUCCCUUCCCCCAAGAUACUUCAUUGUUUCAAUGGACCAAACAGUGUUAUAACACAGUGUCACUGCUGUGAUUUAAAGCUCACUGGAGUAAUAAAUCCAUCUGAAUAUAAAAUA